GAUGAACGCUGACAGAAUGCUUAACACAUGCAAGUCGAUGGGGAAGUGGUGCUUGCACCAUGGUAACCAUGGCGGACGGGUGAGUAACGCGUAAGGAACUUGCCUGCGGGACUGGGAUAACAGCAGGAAACUGCUGAUAAUACCGGAUAAGGUCAUUAAGCUGCAUAGCUUAGUGAUGAAAGGAGACGCCUGCGGAGAGCCUUGCGUCCUAUUAGCUAGUUGGAGGGGUAACGGCCCACCAAGGCGAAGAUAGGUAGCCGGCCUGAGAGGGUGGACGGCCACAAGGGGACUGAGAUACGGCCCUUACUCCUACGGGAGGCAGCAGUGGGGAAUAUUGGACAAUGGGGGCAACCCUGAUCCAGCAAUUCUGUGUGCACGAAGACGGUUUUCGGAUUGUAAAGUGCUUUCAGCAGGGAAGAAGGAAGUGACGGUACCUGCAGAAGAAGCGACGGCUAAAUACGG
Molecule: ribosomal RNA, 462 nt
Filed under: uncultured bacterium
Lineage: Bacteria
Description: partial 16S ribosomal RNA
Rfam family: Bacterial small subunit ribosomal RNA
Source: RNAcentral